UCCUACGGGGCGCAGCAGUGAGGAAUAUUGGUCAAUGGGCGCGAGCCUGAACCAGCCAAGUCGCGUGAGGGAAGACGGUCCUAUGGAUUGUAAACCUCUUUUGUCGGGGAGCAAAAGCCGCCACGCGUGGCGUUCCGAGAGUACCUGAAGAAAAAGCAUCGGCUAACUCCGUGCCAGCAGCCGCGGUAAUACGGAGGAUGCGAGCGUUAUCCGGAUUUAUUGGGUUUAAAGGGUGCGCAGGCGG
Molecule: ribosomal RNA, 244 nt
Filed under: uncultured bacterium
Lineage: Bacteria
Description: partial 16S ribosomal RNA
Rfam family: Bacterial small subunit ribosomal RNA
Source: RNAcentral